CCUUUGUACACACCGCCCGUCGCUACUACCGAUUGAAUGGCUCAGUGAGGCGUUCGGACUGGCUCGAGGAGGUUGGCAACGACCACCUCAAGCCGGAAAGUUCGUCAAACUCGGUCAUUUAGAGG
RNAcentral lists this ribosomal RNA (125 nucleotides) under Alternaria sp. RNAcentral's name for it is "partial small subunit ribosomal RNA". It matches the Rfam family "Eukaryotic small subunit ribosomal RNA", at positions 1657 to 1779 of the family's 1831-position model. Lineage: Eukaryota; Fungi; Ascomycota; Dothideomycetes; Pleosporales; Pleosporaceae. The record is from RNAcentral.